Molecule: long non-coding RNA, 1660 nt
Organism: Pseudophryne corroboree (corroboree frog)
Lineage: Eukaryota; Metazoa; Chordata; Amphibia; Anura; Myobatrachidae
Exons: 4
Source: RefSeq, a predicted model, not a curated record
CAGGCUCGGCGCAGAGCGGGUUAUUUCUAAGAAUAGCAGAGACCCCGGUGUUGCUCACCUAUCCUUUAUUCUGAGUCACGUGAUGAUGCAUGACGAGCGCUGACAGUUAUUCUACAGUUAUAAAUGAAAAUGAUGACAAAUCGAGCGGCUGAUAUCAUCCUGACUAAGGCAGCGUGAUGGAUGAUGUGUGCGGGUUACCGUUCUGGUGAGGAGAUGAACACAUUCGCAGCGACGCAAGUAAAACUGGAGAACUGUGUCCCGGAGAUGAAGAAGUUAAGUACAUUUGGCAGAUGUGUAAUUUCUCUGUGGAGUGCCAUGUACCAAAGAGCCUGUGGGAGAUGUUAGUCAAUGUGGUCCCAUCUCAAAUAAAGUCAUUUUCUUUCCUAGAAAAACGGUUCUCUACCCAAAGGGCAGCUUAGAUUUAGAGACAGCCCUGGCAAAUGCAUUUUUGAGAAAACACUAGAUAAUUCUUAAAAGGGAUUACGGGAUUCUGUUCUCACUGACCCAGAGGGAUUCUGGUACUCCAUUUACUGGCGUCAGCUGGAACUAUUUCUCUUUUUAAUACUGUAUUUUUUUUCCUAAUAGAGUGAAACAAAGCAAAUGUUUAGGAGCGACCCAGUUUUUGUCACAUGAUUUAUGGUGAUAAGAUGAAGAGUACUGGAGGCAUCUUGAUGAAUGCAGGGUCAUGUUAAUUAAAGAAACGUCCAGUCUCCACAGAAAAAUAUAUUCACCUAUGCCACAAUGAGCAAGCACAACCUUGGCGAGCACAACGGCAAGCUGCUGCUGGGAGCCCACACCAGGCCCCUUCUCAGGCCCCCUCCCCUUCUGUCUCCCCCUCUCCAGGCCACUCCCCCUCUUCUGCCCACACCCCCUCUUCUGCCCACACCCCCUCUCCAGCCCACACCCCCUCUCCGGACCACUCCCCCUCUCCAGCCACCUCCACCUCUCCGGCCCACUCCUUCUCUCCAGCCACCUCCCCCUCUCCAGCCACCUCCCCCUCUCCAGCCCAAUUCCACUCUCCCAAUCCCCCUCUCCAGCCCAAUCUUACUCUCUUUCCCAAUCCCCCUCUUCAGCCCAAUCCCACUCUCUCUCCCAAUCCCCCUAUCCAGCCCAAUCCCACUCUCUUUCCCAAUCCCCCUCUCCAGCCCAAUCCCACUCUCCCGACCAAUCACCCUCUCCGGCCCAAUCCCACUCUCUUGCACAAUUCCCCUCUCUGCCCCCCUCCCCCUCUGUGUCCCAAAAAUCCACUCCACCACCCUCACCCUAUCAUUCACAAACCCCCUCUGUUAGGUCCUCCCCCUUCCAUCCUCUAACACAAUUAGACCCUCCUUCCCCCAUCCUGCCUCCUUCCCCCAUCCAGCACCCAUCCCCCAUCCAGCCAACCUCACCCAUCCAGCCACCUUUGCCGCCAACAGAAUGGGCAGCAGAGGCCCCGGAGCCACUUGAGGGAGGUGGGCAAGUGGCAGAGGAGAAUGUUGCAGUUGGAGAUCCCACCACUUUUGCAGGCAUUCUGGCCACCAUGCAGCAAAAUCUUGAAGCCUUGCUGGCUAAUGUGGACCAGCUGCAAACAUUUUUUAAUUUUUAAUGUAAAUAAUUUUAUAUUUUCAGUAAAAAAAAAAAAAUAUGACAAACAAUAAAAACUAUAUAUAUUUCAAGUUAA